GUCUAGCAGGUAGAAACUUGGGUGGAGUCCGUCCGUCAUGAAGAAUCCGAUCGACACUGGUGGGGGUUUAUCCGUCGGCAGAACUUGGGAACGUUGCAGAGGCUCGGCCAUCGGAGAGGUUCAGAAAGAUGUCGCCAAAGGUCGGACGUUGGUAGAACCCCCUGAGGGUCACUCCUGAUACGAACUUCGGCUGGGGGGGUAUUUUAUGCCCAAUAAUAGAUUUCUAGCUGAGGCAGUUUGAAGUACAAUAGAAGUGGUUGCUGCACAAUCCUCGAGAUGAAGGGAGGCUGACUGUUAUAUCCUUCAUAGAGCAGCAUCGGGGAGCUAUUAUUAUUGAUGAUCUUUUCUAUUUUCUAAUCCAACUGCUAGUCGAGCUCU
Molecule: long non-coding RNA, 378 nt
Filed under: Elaeis guineensis (African oil palm)
Lineage: Eukaryota; Viridiplantae; Streptophyta; Magnoliopsida; Arecales; Arecaceae
Description: long non-coding RNA (EGUI_LNC072239)
Source: RNAcentral